This 87-nucleotide non-coding RNA is filed under the name Candidatus Pelagibacter. RNAcentral describes it as "Glycine sequence". It matches the Rfam family "Glycine riboswitch aptamer". From Rfam's summary of the family: This family represents the bacterial glycine riboswitch. Lineage: Bacteria; Pseudomonadati; Pseudomonadota; Alphaproteobacteria; Candidatus Pelagibacterales; Candidatus Pelagibacteraceae. The record is from RNAcentral.
UAAGAUCUUACGGGAGAGACUACCCAAUGUAGCGCCGAAGGAGCAAAUACCCAAUAAUCUCUCAGGCAAAAGGACCGUACGUAUUAA